AUUGAACGCUGGCGGCAGGCCUAACACAUGCAAGUCGAGCGGAUGAAGGGAGCUUGCUCCUGGAUUCAGCGGCGGACGGGUGAGUAAUGCCUAGGAAUCUGCCUGGUAGUGGGGGAUAACGUCCGGAAACGGGCGCUAAUACCGCAUACGUCCUGCGGGAGAAAGUGGGGGAUCUUCGGACCUCACGCUAUCAGAUGAGCCUAGGUGGGAUUAGCUAGUUGGUGGGGUAAAGGCCUACCAGGGGGCCGACCCGUAACUGGUCUGAGAGGAUGAUCAGUCACACUGGAACGGAGACACGGUCCAGACUCCUACGGGAGGCAGCAGUGGGGAAUAUUGGACAAUGGGCGAAAGCCUGAUCCAGCCAUGCCGCGUGUGUGAAGAAGGUCUUCGGAUUGUAAAGCACUUUAAGUUGGGAGGAAGGGCAGUAAGUUAAUACCUUGCUGUUUUGACGUUACCAACAGAAUAAGCACCGGCUAACUUCGUG
Molecule: ribosomal RNA, 484 nt
Filed under: uncultured bacterium
Lineage: Bacteria
Description: partial 16S ribosomal RNA
Rfam family: Bacterial small subunit ribosomal RNA
Source: RNAcentral